AAAAUAACAAUGAUUUCCCUAGUAACGGCGAGUGAAGAGGAAAGAGCUCGAAGUUGGAACCUGUUUGGCCUAGCUAAACCGGAUUGUAGACUGUAGAAGUGUUUUCCAGGCAAGCCGAGUAAAUAAGUCCUUUGGAACAGGGCAUCAUAGAGGGUGAGAAUCCCGUCUUUGGCUUGAGCAUUUGCCUUUUGUGAUACGCUUUCAAAGAGUCAGGUUGUUUGGGAAUGCAGCCUAAAUUGGGUGGUAAAUCUCACCUAAAGCUAAAUAUUGGCGAGAAACCGAUAGCGAACAAGUACCGUGAGGGAAAGAUGAAAAGAACUUUGAAAAGAGAGUUAAACAGUAUGUGAAAUUGUUAAAAGGGAACCGUUUGGAGCCAGACUGGCUUGUCUGUAAUCAAUCUAGGCUUCGGCCUGGAUGCACUUGCAGGCUAUGCCUGCCAACGACAAUUUGACUUGAGGGAAAAAACUAGGGGAAAUGUGGCCCACUUGUGGGUGUUAUAGUCCCUUAGAAAAUACCUUGGGUUGGAUUGAGGAACGCAGCGAAUGCUUAUUGGCGAGUUUUCCAGGAAGGUUUUCUGAGGUACUACGGUAUCAAGGUUGAUCUUUUUGGUUAUACUUCUAUUCGCUUAGGUUGUUGGCUUAAUGACUCUAAAUGAC
This 656-nucleotide ribosomal RNA is filed under the name Rhizopus arrhizus. Its description in RNAcentral is "Rhizopus oryzae partial large subunit ribosomal RNA". It matches the Rfam family "Eukaryotic large subunit ribosomal RNA", at positions 62 to 648 of the family's 3401-position model. The record is from RNAcentral. Lineage: Eukaryota; Fungi; Mucoromycota; Mucoromycetes; Mucorales; Rhizopodaceae.